This is a non-coding RNA of Nicotiana tabacum (common tobacco), 4172 nucleotides long. The record is from RefSeq and is a predicted model, not a curated record. NCBI's taxonomy places the organism in Eukaryota, Viridiplantae, Streptophyta, Magnoliopsida, Solanales, Solanaceae.
UCCCACCCCCUCUCGCCUCCCUUUCUAUUUUCUCUCUUCUUUCUCUCAUUUUUUCAGCCUCCAUUAAUCAUAAAACCUUGCACAAAUCCGUACAAGGUCAAUAAAUCAGCCAUGAAUUCAUUCAUUUUGUCUUCCCCAAUCGCGAAUCUCGCCGAUUUCAUUCCCGUUUCAUCACACAAAUUUGAAAUCCCCAAAGCUUAACCCUAGACUCAAAGAUGAAAGUUCAAAUCACCUGAGUUCUGUUAUGAUCUUUCAAAUCGGAACCUAAAAUUACCUUUUGCCUCCUGAAGUCCGUGAAUCCUACUGCAAAUUCCCUUUUUCAAUCACAAAAUUCAAACAUCUAAAUCCUGAAACCCUAGACCCAAAGACACAAUAUCAAAUCUCUGAUUUUUCUCCGUGUUUUAUCAAAUCGGAGCAUGCAUGGAGUUCCUUCUCAGAGUUCAUCAUGAGGAUUCGAUGUCCAGAGGUUAAACUCAGUGACCUCUGGAUAAUAGAGUUUAACCGAUGUUCUUCUGCCUUCGACGAUUCAAUCUCCUUUCUCAGUACUAUCGCCGGUCUAAACUUGAGGUUCCUGGGGUUUAAGCAACUGAAAAGAGCUCUCGUUUGGUCUGCUUCUCUCAAAAAGUGUUAAAACCAGUCGACUUUGUCCAUGGAGAACCAACCCUUCGUUUUGACUUGGAGGAGCGCCAACAUUUUGCAAAAGAAGAGGGAUUGAAUCAAGCAAUUGUGGUUAAAGUUUCUGCUCGUGCACCAGACCUAAAAUCUUUGCGAGCAAUACUGCCCAAGCAACUGGGAAUUAAGGGCCAUUGUUUAACAGGAUUAUUAGCGCCUAGGAAGCUUUUAAUCAGGUGUGAUCAUUAUGAAGAUUUUGUGUUAUCAUUGUCGCGUUCAGUUAAUUAUUUUAUGCACCAUGGAGCAUAACAUCAAUAUAGAGUUUUCCCAUAGUCCAUUGGAUUCAAUCACAAGGAAGAAACGACGAAGGCCGUCGUGUGGAUAUCACUUCCUAAUCUACCUCCAAAUUUGUUUGCGAAGAAGGCUUUGCUGUCAAUAGCUUCCGCAGUUGGUAUUCCUAUUGCAACUGAUAAAGAAAAUCAAACGUGAUCAAGACCUAGCACUGCUAGAGUUAGGGUAAUCCUUGACCUCUCGAAUAACCUUCCUCAAAGAAUAAGGUUGCAACAUGUGGAAAAUAAAUCUAGAAAAGUGUUUGAGUUCUUCCAGGAAAUUAUUUAUGAUAACUUACCUGCUUACUGUAAUGUUUGCAAGCACCAAGGGCAUGAGAAAUAGGUGUGUCGUUUGCUUUUAAAGAAGGUCCAAAAGGAAAACCAGUUGGAUGAUCGUGAUUUUGAAACCAUUGGAGGAAAAUUUAAAGGAGAUUUGAGACUAAUUUUAGAUGCCAAAAAAUUAAGGAAUGUAGCUGAAGGAAUGUGUUUGGUGUCAACAAAUAACAGUGGUGAAAGUUCACAUGCUGCUCGUCAAGGAUCAGAUUAUAAUAAGGAGCAACAUACAGUUUCAGUUAAUGGGAUUAAUACAGUUCCAGUUAAAGUAGUUGUAAGCAGUGGUGUUGAGGAGUUGCAAAUCGAUGUGCACGCUAUUAAAGAUACUAACGUUUACAAUGUUGCACCUAGGCAACCUCAAAAACUGUUAGCAAAAACUAAUGCUACAAUUUAUCUUAUUAACCAUAAAUCUAAAGCUGAUGUUUUGAAAAAACCAAACGUGACUCAAGAUUGUGGUGUCAUUCCAGUUGCGGCAGCUCUAACGAGAGUUUAUCAGGAUUUAAGGGCUACUAAUGUUCAUGAUGAUGCUGGAGGUUCAACUUAGGAUAAGGAAUCUGCUGGUGUUGGAAAAAAAAAACUGAAGCUGUGCAUCAACUAAAAAAGGAACUGGGACAACCUAACAUCAAACAUGUCCCUGAUGCAACUGCUGCACGUGAAGAACUAGCUGAAAAACAAGCAUGUUUUAUAGCUACUAUUGUACAUGAUGAGAGAAAAGAACUUGAAGGAGUUGAUGCUUUGGAUAGUGUAACUGGUAUAGAUGAUAAUGCAGUGCUUGAACAAGCAAAAAACUGUCCAAAACAUUCAGCUGACCAUGCCAAUGCUGGGCACACUAGUAAAAUGCAAAGUAAUUUUACUGCAGGACCUGUGCAUGAAGCUGGAAAAAAUACAUCUCAUGGUGAGGUAAAGUUGAUUGAGGUUGAUGUUAUGAGGGCUGGGAAAAUUCUUAAACAUCACAACCAGGUUAAUAAGGGAGCAGAAGCUUUAGAAACAAGGGAACGAAACAAUAAACAUGUUGCUAUUGAUGCUGGUACACUACCUGAUGGUUUGGAGGCUGCAACUGUGAAUGUGGAGGAUCUAGACCACGUUUCCACUUCGUCUAAUGAUGCAACACAUGUGAAUGCAGCACGAGUUGAUUGAAAAAUGGUGGUGAGAUCACCUACAAGGCAUAAUGCAUCUCUAAAAGGGAUGAAACAACAGCAGAUUUCAAGUGCUACAUAUGUUCGACGGAAUCAGCAGCAAGCAGUGACGCAUCGAUCGCCUAAAAAUAGGAGAUCUCCAGGCAUGCAAGACCAGGUAGUAAACUCUAGUAGCAAGAAAGGAGUGGAUGUCAAUAGAGAGGAAGGCUGUUGUUCAGUAACACGCAAAAAGAAGGAAACAUCUGGAAUUAAAUCUCCAGAUCGAGCUGCAGAGAAGAGUUCAAAAAAUGAGAAAGUGCAGAUUGUGGUAUGUGCGGAUGAGUGCAAAGUUUCCAGGAACUCCAUUGCACCUACUAAUGUAAAUCUUACUGCAAUUUGAGCUGAAAUUCUGGAAGGUUUGAAUCCUUUGCAAGUUCUGCCUGGGUUUUUGUCUAAUCCUACGAAGGGACUAUUUCUUCAAGAGGUGAAGGGAAAUAAUGGCAUGGAAGGGGUUGGUUUGAAUACAUCCCAAUAUGAUAUUCCUUCCAAUGAUUUGUUUGAUCGAUCUGGCAACAUGUUACAAGAUUCCAACAACCAACAAACUUUAUCCAUGAUGUCGUCGGCAACAAAAAAGGGAGGGGCUGACCACACAAGAGAAGUACAUGAAGACAUGAUGAGUGAUGCCGAACUAAGUGAUGAACCUGUCCAGAUUUUAAGCGAGCUAUAGGCGACAAUUAGCUCUAAACAUAAGUCAUGGGCUGACCAAGCAGAAGAGUUAGAAGAAGGUGAAGAAGAUUAUGUUGUUGAUUUCCAGGAACAAAACACUCAAGAAACAUGUUCUUCAACACGACGAGGUGAUAACGCUAAGAAAGGAGCAGUAACUGUGUUUGAACAGGUUGUUAGUACUUCACCAAGUGUGCAAAUCAAAACAAAACUAAGUCCUAAUGCUGCUGUUUUUGUUCCUACUGGACAACAUCUACCAGGUACAAAAGAAUCUGCGCCUCUACAGAAAAAAUCGGGUAAGAAUAAAAAAUGCUCAAUUGAAAGAUUGCAUAAUAAAACCUAAUGCCAUGAUUGUGAAGAGGCAUGAACUAUUAGAUAUGGUUGCACAGAAAUGUGUUAUUCAACAACUAGAGAAUAACUUACGUGUUGAAAUUUGGGAAGAAGGCGAAGAAGAAGAUUUGCUUGAUUAUUGCCGAGUUGAGGCGACUAGAUGUGGAGAUUUAUCUCCUACACACAGUGGAAAAAAGAAUAAGGCAUUCACAAGGGAGAAUAGUUGGGAUGAAAAAGUGAAUGAAGGAGUAACACUUAGAAUACUCCCAAUGAGAGAUGCAAAGCGAAAAGGGGCAGCCCCGGCCAUAUCUACAAAGUCCAAUCGAUCGAAGAAGAAAUGAGAAAUUUUGAAGAUUUAUUAAAUAUAGCUGAAGAGGAUUUUAACGAGCUACAAUUUGAAGAACUCACAAGUAUCAUGAAUGAGGGGCAAGAAUCCAAUUUCUACCUCAUUUUAUUUUAUUAUUUUCUAAGCAUUAUCAUAUGUAAUAUCAUCAUAGAGUGUGUUAUAAACUCUAUGAUGAUCAUAGAGUAUUUACUAAUUUCGAGUUCUUAUUUUUUACAAGCUUGCUAAAAGAUGAGGUUGUUCAUGCCUCAAUAGGAAUUGUAAGGUAACACUAGUGUAGCUUUUAGCUUAGUAUGUGUUUGCUAUUAGAGGCAACACUAGUGUAGCUUUUGUCCCCCUUACUUGUACUCUUCCUUUAUGGUUUUUCUUUUACUAUUAAUAAAUAAG